This 71-nucleotide transfer RNA is filed under the name Caudoviricetes sp. Its description in RNAcentral is "tRNA-Ser". It matches the Rfam family "tRNA". Rfam says of the family: Transfer RNA (tRNA) molecules are approximately 80 nucleotides in length. Their secondary structure includes four short double-helical elements and three loops (D, anti-codon, and T loops). Lineage: Duplodnaviria; Heunggongvirae; Uroviricota; Caudoviricetes. The record is from RNAcentral.
GGGAGAGUCGUACAACUGACAGUACAAUAACCAAAGAAUGCGGGUUUGAGUCCCGCCUCUCCUUCUCGUCA